This 468-nucleotide ribosomal RNA is filed under the name uncultured bacterium. RNAcentral's name for it is "partial 16S ribosomal RNA". It matches the Rfam family "Bacterial small subunit ribosomal RNA", at positions 28 to 507 of the family's 1533-position model. The record is from RNAcentral.
GACGAACGCUGGCGGCGUGCUUAACACAUGCAAGUCGAACGGAAAGGCCCUGCUUUUGUGGGGUGCUCGAGUGGCGAACGGGUGAGUAACACGUGAGUAACCUGCCCUUGACUUUGGGAUAACUUCAGGAACCUGGGGCUAAUACCGGAUAGGAGCUCCUGCUGCAUGGUGGGGGUUGGAAAGUUUCGGCGGUUGGGAAUGGACUCGCGGCUUAUCAGCUUGUUGGUGGGGUAGUGGCUUACCAAGGCUUUGACGGGUAGCCGGCCUGAGAGGGUGACCGGCCACAUUGGGACUGAGAUACGGCCCAGACUCCUACGGGAGGCAGCAGUGGGGAAUAUUGCACAAUGGGCGGAAGCCUGAUGCAGCAACGCCGCGUGCGGGAUGACGGCCUUCGGGUUGUAAACCGCUUUCGCCUGUGACGAAGCGUGAGUGACGGUAAUGGGUAAAGAAGCACCGGCUAACUACGUG